GCGGACGUGGUGGAAUUGGUAUACACAACAGACUUAAAAUCUGUCGCCACUGGCUUACGGGUUCGAGUCCCGUCGUCCGCA
RNAcentral lists this transfer RNA (81 nucleotides) under Neorhizobium alkalisoli. RNAcentral describes it as "Rhizobium alkalisoli tRNA". It matches the Rfam family "tRNA". From Rfam's summary of the family: Transfer RNA (tRNA) molecules are approximately 80 nucleotides in length. Their secondary structure includes four short double-helical elements and three loops (D, anti-codon, and T loops). The record is from Rfam by way of RNAcentral. Lineage: Bacteria; Pseudomonadati; Pseudomonadota; Alphaproteobacteria; Hyphomicrobiales; Rhizobiaceae.